Molecule: ribosomal RNA, 553 nt
Filed under: Musellifer reichardti
Lineage: Eukaryota; Metazoa; Gastrotricha; Chaetonotida; Chaetonotidae
Description: bacterial SSU rRNA
Rfam family: Eukaryotic small subunit ribosomal RNA
Source: RNAcentral
UCAAUCCGCUUUUGCCGGAGUUUGAUGACUCUGGAUAACUUUUGCUGAUCGCAGUGGCCUUUGCGCCGGCGACGGAUCCGUUAAAAGUCUGCCCUAUCAACUUUCGAUGGUAGGUGAUAUGCCUACCAUGGUUAUAACGGGUAACGGGGAAUCAGGGUUCGAUUCCGGAGAGGGAGCCUGAGAAACGGCUACCACAUCCAAGGAAGGCAGCAGGCACGCAAAUUACCCACUCCCAGCACGGGGAGGUAGUGACGAAAAAUAACAAUAUCGACCCUUAUGGGUUCGAUAAUUGGAAUGAGUAGAGUAUAAAUCCUUUUGCGAGGAUCAAUUGGAGGGCAAGUCUGGUGCCAGCAGCCGCGGUAAUUCCAGCUCCAAUAGCGUAUAUUAAAGUUGUUGCGGUUAAAAAGCUCGUAGUUGGAUCUCAGAUAUAUGACAAUGGUCGCCUUUCGGUGUACUGCUGAUCAUAAUCUAUUAAUUGAUUUCUCCUUGGUCCACUUCACUGUGUGCCUUGGAGCGUCAAUACGUUUACUUUGAAAAAAUUAGAGUGCUCAAA